ACUUGCAGAUUUUCUAAAGGGCUUUAUUUUGGUUUUAAAAGGAAGGGGAAGCAAAGCAGGAUCAGGCCAGGUUAGUACAUGGAUGGGAGACCACCUAGGAAGACCAGGUGCUGUAGGUG
Pteropus vampyrus (large flying fox) is the source of this 119-nucleotide ribosomal RNA. The record is from Ensembl. NCBI's taxonomy places the organism in Eukaryota, Metazoa, Chordata, Mammalia, Chiroptera, Pteropodidae.